GAGGAACAAGCUGAGGAAAUGCCGUCAAUAAGAGGAUUGUGUUUGUUUAGACAGCGCAGUGCGUCGUACCGCCUCCCAUGGCAGCCGGCAAUCACUAGAACAUCUCCAGAGAUUAGAUGUUUUUUCCAGUGAAGGAUCUGUUUGCUCAGGGAGGAACCAGCAGCCGCUGUGGAAGUGGGUCCAUUUAAAGCCACACAGGAACUUUAGGUUUGAGUUCAAGCUGAACUCUCCUCUCUGUCGCUCUAUUGGAGCUGAUUCCAGUUCCUCCCAGAAGGCCAGAUGUGGAGUCCGGCUGCUUCUGGAUGCUGAUUGGAUGGAAGCUGUAAAGCUGCUGAAGCCUCUCAGAUAAACACAACUUAACGUUUUCAUUCUUUCAUCGUUUCUACACUGAAAAACUCUUUUAUUAAAGUCAGGAUUGGAGGUUUGUUUCUGCUUCUCUCUGACCUUUCAGAGCCGUUUCUUAGGCUCCAUCUAGUGGCUGAAAGUUCAGCUCUUCAUUUAGGAGACGACUCCCUCAGUCUGAGCUCAUCUGGAGCAGAUAUGGCCUCACAGUGGAAGCUGGAAGAAGGAUAGAAAUGGAACUUUAUUGAUCUCACACUGGUUAAAUUCCCUCUCUGCAUUUAACCCAUCC
Cyprinodon variegatus (sheepshead minnow) is the source of this 631-nucleotide long non-coding RNA. RefSeq lists it as uncharacterized. NCBI's taxonomy places the organism in Eukaryota, Metazoa, Chordata, Actinopteri, Cyprinodontiformes, Cyprinodontidae. The transcript has 3 exons. The record is from RefSeq and is a predicted model, not a curated record.